UCAGGUAACACUGAAUGGAGGACCGAACCGACUUACGUUGAAAAGUGAGCGGAUGAACUGAGGGUAGCGGAGAAAUUCCAAUCGAACCUGGAGAUAGCUGGUUCUCUCCGAAAUAGCUUUAGGGCUAGCCUCAAGUGAUGAUUAUUGGAGGUAGAGCACUGUUUGGACGAGGGGCCCCUCUCGGGUUACCGAAUUCAGACAAACUCCGAAUGCCAAUUAAUUUAACUUGGGAGUCAGAACAUGGGUGAUAAGGUCCGUGUUCGAAAGGGAAACAGCCCAGACCACCAGCUAAGGUCCCAAAAUAUAUGUUAAGUGGAAAAGGAUGUGGCGUUGCCCAGACAACUAGGAUGUUGGCUUAGAAGCAGCCAUCAUUUAAAGAGUGCGUAAUAGCUCACUAGUCGAGUGACACUGCGCCGAAAAUGUACCGGGGCUAAACAUAUUACCGAAGCUGUGGAUUGUCCUUUGGACAAUGGUAGGAGAGCGUUCUAAGGGCGUUGAAGCAUGAUCGUAAGGACAUGUGGAGCGCUUAGAAGUGAGAAUGCCGGUGUGAGUAGCGAAAGACGGGUGAGAAUCCCGUCCACCGAUUGACUAAGGUUUCCAGAGGAAGGCUCGUCCGCUCUGGGUUAGUCGGG
This 632-nucleotide ribosomal RNA is filed under the name Staphylococcus aureus. Its description in RNAcentral is "partial 23S ribosomal RNA". It matches the Rfam family "Bacterial large subunit ribosomal RNA", at positions 752 to 1388 of the family's 2925-position model. Lineage: Bacteria; Bacillati; Bacillota; Bacilli; Caryophanales; Staphylococcaceae. The record is from RNAcentral.